CAUGUAUAUCUGCACACCAGUAGAGGGC
Molecule: non-coding RNA, 28 nt
Filed under: Cricetulus griseus (Chinese hamster)
Lineage: Eukaryota; Metazoa; Chordata; Mammalia; Rodentia; Cricetidae
Source: RNAcentral